GAUGAACGCUAGCGGCAGGCUUAAUACAUGCAAGUCGAGGGGGCAGCAAUGUCACCGGCGAACGGGUGCGUAACACGUAUGCAACCUACCUAUAUCAGGGGGAUAGCCCGAGGAAACUCGGAUUAAUACCGCAUAACAUUAGGAUCGGCAUCGAUUUUAAUUGAAAGAUUUAUUGGAUAUAGAUGGGCAUGCGUAGGAUUAGCUAGUUGGUAAGGUAACGGCUUACCAAGGCUACGAUCCUUAGGGGCUCUGAGAGGAGUAUCCCCCACACUGGCACUGGGAUACGGGCCAGACUCCUACGGGAGGCAGCAGUAAGGAAUAUUGGGCAAUGGGCGAAAGCCUGACCCAGCCAUGCCGCGUGCAGGAAGACGGCCCUCUGGGUUGUAAACUGCUUUUGAAUGGGAAGGAAGGUAUGCUUGCGAGCGUAAUUGACGGUACCAUUAGAAUAAGCCACGGCUAACUACGUGCCAGCCGCCGCAGUAA
RNAcentral lists this ribosomal RNA (483 nucleotides) under uncultured bacterium. RNAcentral describes it as "partial 16S ribosomal RNA". It matches the Rfam family "Bacterial small subunit ribosomal RNA", at positions 28 to 523 of the family's 1533-position model. The record is from RNAcentral.